This 490-nucleotide ribosomal RNA is filed under the name uncultured bacterium. RNAcentral's name for it is "bacterial SSU rRNA". It matches the Rfam family "Bacterial small subunit ribosomal RNA", at positions 28 to 507 of the family's 1533-position model. The record is from RNAcentral.
GACGAACGCUGGCGGCGUGCUUAACACAUGCAAGUCGAACGGCAGCACGGGGGCAACCCUGGUGGCGAGUGGCGGACGGGUGAGGAAUGCAUAGGAAUCUGCCCAGUUGUGGGGGAUAACGUAGGGAAACUUACGCUAAUACCGCAUACGACCUACGGGUGAAAGAGGGGGACCUUCGGGCCUCUCGCGAUUGGAUGAGCCUAUGCCGGAUUAGCUAGUUGGCGGGGUAAGAGCCCACCAAGGCGACGAUCCGUAGCUGGUCUGAGAGGAUGAUCAGCCACACUGGAACUGGGACACGGUCCAGACUCCUACGGGAGGCAGCAGUGGGGAAUAUUGGACAAUGGGCGCAAGCCUGAUCCAGCAAUGCCGCGUGUGUGAAGAAGGCCUCGGGUUGUAAGCACUUUGUUUGGGUAAGAAAUCCGGUUGGUUAAGUUAACCUGAUCGGGAGUGACGGUACCUAAAAGAAUAAAGCAACCGGCCUAACUUCGCG